RNAcentral lists this ribosomal RNA (274 nucleotides) under uncultured bacterium. RNAcentral's name for it is "partial 16S ribosomal RNA". It matches the Rfam family "Bacterial small subunit ribosomal RNA", at positions 523 to 796 of the family's 1533-position model. The record is from RNAcentral.
AGACAGAGGUGGCAAGCGUUGUUCGGAUUUACUGGGCUUAAAGGGCGUGUAGGCGUCCUGGUAAGUCAGAUGUGGAAGCCUUGGGCUCAACCCAAGAAUUGCAUUUGAUACUGCCGGGAUGGAGUCGUGCAUGGGAGGGCGGAAUUCCUGGUGUAGCGGUGAAAUGCGUAGAUAUCAGGAGGAAGGCCGGUGGCGAAGGUGGCCCUCUGGGCAAUGACUGACGCUGAGGCGCGAAAGCGUGGGGAGCAAACAGGAUUAGAUACCCUAGUAGUCC